GGGCCCUUAGCUCAACUGGUUAGAGCGGCGGACUCAUAAUCCGUAGGCUGGGGGUUCAAGUCCCUCAGGGCCCA
Molecule: transfer RNA, 74 nt
Filed under: Ignavibacteria bacterium
Lineage: Bacteria; Pseudomonadati; Ignavibacteriota; Ignavibacteria
Description: tRNA-Met
Rfam family: tRNA
About the family: Transfer RNA (tRNA) molecules are approximately 80 nucleotides in length.
Source: RNAcentral